This 435-nucleotide ribosomal RNA is filed under the name Enterobacter asburiae. RNAcentral's name for it is "bacterial SSU rRNA". It matches the Rfam family "Bacterial small subunit ribosomal RNA", at positions 1 to 432 of the family's 1533-position model. The record is from RNAcentral. Lineage: Bacteria; Pseudomonadati; Pseudomonadota; Gammaproteobacteria; Enterobacterales; Enterobacteriaceae.
AAAUUGAAGAGUUUGAUCAUGGCUCAGAUUGAACGCUGGCGGCAGGCCUAACACAUGCAAGUCGAGCGGCAGCGGAAAGUAGCUUGCUACUUUGCCGGCGAGCGGCGGACGGGUGAGUAAUGUCUGGGAAACUGCCUGAUGGAGGGGGAUAACUACUGGAAACGGUAGCUAAUACCGCAUAACGUCGCAAGACCAAAGAGGGGGACCUUCGGGCCUCUUGCCAUCAGAUGUGCCCAGAUGGGAUUAGCUAGUAGGUGGGGUAACGGCUCACCUAGGCGACGAUCCCUAGCUGGUCUGAGAGGAUGACCAGCCACACUGGAACUGAGACACGGUCCAGACUCCUACGGGAGGCAGCAGUGGGGAAUAUUGCACAAUGGGCGCAAGCCUGAUGCAGCCAUGCCGCGUGUAUGAAGAAGGCCUUCGGGUUGUAAAGUA